This 90-nucleotide non-coding RNA is filed under the name Pseudomonas baetica. The record is from RNAcentral. Lineage: Bacteria; Pseudomonadati; Pseudomonadota; Gammaproteobacteria; Pseudomonadales; Pseudomonadaceae.
UGUGGGAGCGGGCUUGCUCGCGAAUGCGAUAGAUCAGACACCAAUGAUGUCGACUGAUACACCACUUUCGCGAGCAAGCCCGCUCCCACA